UAAUUUAUAUUUUAAUUAAGAGUAUUAGAAAUUUAUUUGUUAGUUAUCAUGGGGGUGAUUUUUAUAGUUUACCAGUCUUUAAAAUUUUUUAAUAAAAAAGUUCCAUUAGUAGUGAUUCUGUGAUAAAAAUACUCUAGGGAUAACAGCGUUAUUAUUUUGGAUAGGUCAUAUAGAUAAAAUAGUUUGCGACCUCGAUGUUGGAUUAGGAUUCUUUUAUGAUGAAGAAGUUAUAAGGGAGAAGUUUGCUCAACUUUUAAAGACCUACUUGAUCUGAGUUCAGACCGGG
This 286-nucleotide ribosomal RNA is filed under the name Ornithodoros coriaceus. RNAcentral describes it as "partial 16S ribosomal RNA". The stretch from base 139 to 286 matches the Rfam family "Bacterial large subunit ribosomal RNA", at positions 2473 to 2620 of the family's 2925-position model. Lineage: Eukaryota; Metazoa; Arthropoda; Arachnida; Ixodida; Argasidae. The record is from RNAcentral.